GUUGCAGACUUGUUGUACAGGAGGUUGCUGCAGGUUUGGAGACUUGUUGUACAGGAGGUUGCUCUUCUCUGUCCUUUGGUGAUGUUUUAAUAAAGUUUGAUGACUUUGAAUGAC
Labrus mixtus (cuckoo wrasse) is the source of this 114-nucleotide long non-coding RNA. RefSeq lists it as uncharacterized. Lineage: Eukaryota; Metazoa; Chordata; Actinopteri; Labriformes; Labridae. The record is from RefSeq and is a predicted model, not a curated record. The transcript is spliced from 2 exons.